AAUGCACCAAUUUGUAAGUCGCUCUGGAUAGGAGCGUCUGCUAAAUGACUAAAA
This is a non-coding RNA of Salmo salar (Atlantic salmon), 54 nucleotides long. The record is from Rfam. NCBI's taxonomy places the organism in Eukaryota, Metazoa, Chordata, Actinopteri, Salmoniformes, Salmonidae.